This is a long non-coding RNA of Acipenser ruthenus (sterlet), 4846 nucleotides long. RefSeq lists it as uncharacterized. The transcript has 3 exons. NCBI's taxonomy places the organism in Eukaryota, Metazoa, Chordata, Actinopteri, Acipenseriformes, Acipenseridae. The record is from RefSeq and is a predicted model, not a curated record.
UAUAUUAUUAGCUGAAUGUAUGCCUUCAUUCCGAUGUAAGCAACAAACUUAAAUAAACUUAGAAAGACUAAAGUCAGGCCAAGCGCUAGAAGCAGAAGAUAAGAUCUUAUCUUAUAUACUGUAUAAUGUAGGCACACUUAUAAGAUACACAAAUCCUCUCUGAUAAUAUGGUUAAAAAAGUCUUCAGUCCCUGAUUGAUUUGCUCAGAGAUCUCCAGCAUAGGGGUGUUUAAUGACAGAAAGCCCUCUCACCCGGAGUGUGUCGCCUAUCCUUGGGAACAGUAAGCAGUCCAGUGGACCUAAGCGACCAGAACAGGGGUGUAAAGUACCUUGCUGAAGGGUACAGCAGCAGUGUCCCCCACCUGGGAUUGAAGCCACGACCCUCCGGUCAAGAGUCCAGAGCCCUAACCACUACUCCACAGUGCUGCCCUGGAUAAUCCUUUUUGCAGAUUGUAGCUGCAAUUCCCCACACAGCUCAGAAGAACUGAAGGUUCAGCGGGCAUCCUCCAUUCCCACGACCAAGCCAGCUUCCUCAUUUACACCAAGGAACUCGCAAGCUACCAGCCUCUGGAGAACAAUGGCCAGCCCUGCAGGUGUCUGUCUGAGCUCACUGGGCACCUGGCCAGCAGGGUUCGCUGCAGCCUGAUGAGGAGAAACAGUCCUUGCCAGUUUUGCCUUCCUAACCCAGGAGAGCACCACAGCCAACGCGACCCUCCCUUCAGAAUCCACGAUGACUCAGCAUAGUCAGGACGCUCCCCUAUGCUCCCCUGACUAUAUGACUCACCCUCCACACCACACGGGGGCUGUGCUUUUACCAGACGAGCCACUGGGGAACCCUCUAUGAGCUCUUUAAUAGUCUAAACCAAUAUGUAUGUCAGUCUUGAUCACUUCUUUGAGGGAGAUAAGAAUGAGUGAUGUAAGAAUGAGUGAUAUUGUAUUGGCUGUUUGUCCUAGAAGAGGAAACUAUGGGAUUAUGUCUGGGCAACAGGGACAAAGCCGCACAAUCAUAAAGUUGGAGGAUAUGAGCAGAAAACUUUGUUUUCAUCAUCAACAACACAAUAGGUUUACCUGAGUGUUAAAGAAUAUAAAGAAUAGUAAUCAACUGAGUAAGCAACCAACAUCCCUUCCCCAUAAGUCUUCCACUAUUUAAAAUAACAUUAUGUAUGUCCCCAAUGAGCUAUUGAUGUAAAACUUUUGAUGUAUUUUUUAUUGUAAAACAUGAUAACUGGUACUACACUAGUUUGAAGAAAUCUCUGUUUGCUAGGCAUGCUUUCAGAUAGUGUUGCAACUCUUUCAUCGUUUGCGGCCAAUAGCAUUCUUUGACCAUGAAGACACCCCUUAUGUUAAAAGACCUUGGAAGUGAAGCAGUAACAUAUUUCCUGAAAGGCAAGCAAACAUAACUUUCUUUAUCAGUGUAGUACCAGAUGCCAUGCUUUAAAAUUAAAAUACAUGCUUGCUCCAACCUGUGUAGCAAAUGGAAGUACAAAGCAGGUACAAUUUAAGAAAUUAUUUUGUUAGCUAUAAUCGCUUUAAAAUGGUCAUGUAUUAAGUGCAUUAUAAAUGUAUGCAUAGUAUGGGUUCACAGUAUGUUAUUUGCACAUUUACCUUUGGGAUAUUUACUCCAAGCAGAGACAAAAUAGGUUUUCUAGAUUGCAGACAAGCACUAUUCACAGAUACAGCUGCAUAAGCAAAAUCCCAGAGCAAAUUAAAGGUGAAACCACCAGCCUAAUGCAUGUUUCUCAAUUACAAGCACCUGCGUUAGAUCAAUUAAAAGUCUUAAUUCGCAGAAACAAUGAAUAGCCUACAACUGUGCUUCAUUAAUUAAAAAAAGGUAUCAGCCACUUCCAGCCAAGUAUUUUAUUAUAGUAAGUAAUAUGUGAAACAGAGUUAAACAAACACAUAUCUACACAUAAACCUUACAUCAGGCAGUGGGUUGAUACCUGUUAGUCUGAGGUUAAUAUUCUGUGGUUGCUGUAAAAUGGCAUAGGGUGUACAUUCUGUUCUUCCACUAUUUUUAAACAAUAAGUUUUGUUUUCAAUUGUAAUUCCAUUUCUAAAGCUUGUCUAAGUUUACACUGAUUAAUAUUAGUACCGUAAGAAAUAUUUAGAUUUAUUGGCCUUAAGAAAGUGUUAGUAUUAACAAGUAUACAGUAUUAAUAGUUCAUAAGACUAAAUGAAAGAAAUAUUGUACAUUUGCUACAGAUAUUUGGUUAAUACACCAGGAACAUCCUUCGUAAAGAGGUGUUGCAUUAUUAGAGUCGACGUGACGUUAUCUGUUCACAUGUAGAUGUGCUGUAGAUGCUUCUGGAGAUACAGAUUCUCCCAGAUUUGGUAUUUUAAAUACAGGUGUGUUCACUUUGUGUAUAGUUGUUCUUGGGCUCACAAAUAUCUUCCUGGAGAAUGUUUGCUGGGUUUACACAAGCAUGUUGCUCCAGUGUCGGUAUUUGAAAAGGUAACCUCAUAUUUGCUAUGUAAAAAUAAUGUGAACUCAAAGCAACUAUCAGACAGAAACAUGGGAAUAUGUAGGAGGGAAGGUCGUUCUUUGUCUGUUGCAGGCUGUGUGUAUGUACUUCAAAGUAAUGCAGCAUUACAGUUCUCCCUAGUUUGGGGACGUAUAACUUCCCAAAACCACUUUCCCCAGGUAUUGCUGAGCUGGAAACGGUGGGCGAGGUGUAGCUGGAGGGUGUUUCCACUGACGCUCAGCUAUACCUCAGCUAGACAUCAGACAGUACAGUUUUGUAUCUCCUAUCUAACGGGGCCAAACUGUGCUGUGCAGAAGUACAUCAUCGGAAGGUGUGGGCUAAUAAGAUAAACUGUUUUGAACAAUGGCGGCUGUAAGCGAACGAUAUGUUAAAAAAAAAAGACAAAGUUGUUGCUUUGUGGGACGCAGAAUACAUUCCAGCUCUCCUCAACCUUUGGGCGGAAAACCACAUUCAAGAGCAGCUGUCAGGCACAGUUAGAAAUGUAAAAGUGUCUUACAAAAUUGCGGAAAUUCUGUGGCAGCAGGGGAUCAAUCGCUAUUCAGUGUUGAGAUCAAAUUGAAAAAUGAAUACAAGAUUAAAGUGAAUAACACAACAUGACCUUUUUACUGCCGCACUACAACUUCCUGGGUCAGCUAUACCUGACAAUUAGAAUGGAACGCACACAGCCAUCUUUAACUACACCUCACCCAGACCAGCCAGCUCAGCUAUACCUGGGAAAAGGCAGUGGAAAUGAGGCAUCAGACACCUAAUUAACACCUUCAAUUUUUUACACCUCAGGUGAUAUGGGACUAUUAGAAACUCUUCUUUGACAUGCAGUCUAGGGAAAACCCUGUCUGACACAAGCAUGAAAGCAGAUUAAACAGUUGUCAUGACUGAUGUCCUGUUUAUUUUACAAUGUUUUAUUGGACAGACCCUGUAAAAUAUUUUGUUUGUGAUUGGUGUUACUCAGCAACUAUGUGUUAGGGUUAGUGUUCUGGAAUUAGCAGGGUGUAUAAUUUUAGUAUUUACAGAACUCUGAUUGCAAAACAUAGCAAUGCCUGAGGCAUUCUGAUAUUAAUCAUUAAAUGUUCCAAACACAAAUUCAUUUAAUUAGCUGUGUGUCCACACUGGGGUUUCAAUUACAUGAUUGAGUAUUUUAAGGUUGUGUUUAUCAUCAUAUUCAGAGUUUGCCAAUCACUCUGUGUACUCAAUGAAUCAGGUUGUAUGUAGGAUUUGCUCCCAUCUGAUCACCCAUUUCCCCCUUUUAAUGAUACUAUUUUAUCAGCUUACAAUAGGAUUUGUGCAGACAAAUAGAUACUGUAUAGUAGUUCUUGUAAAGCCACCCAGGUCCUGCUUCUGGGCAAAAUACACCUUUAAUGGUCUGUCUAGAAGACCCCGCAGCUUGGAUCAGGUGUCAGUCUAUUUUAGUACUUCUCUUCAACUAUGACUUCGAGUUCACAAUCUAGUUGUGCAAUGUUUCAGGACGGCAUGAGCCUCUUGGCAGUUUUGUGAUGUGGACUAUUGUUAAUUAAAACUGCCAACUCAUUUGUGACCAAAUACCUCAGUACCAUCCCCCAGGUGUUAGUUUAAACCCUUAAUCUUUGAUUAUGUUACUGCACUUGCCAUCUGAGCAUCACACCCACUUCCUCCAGAUAGUAUUAUUUUAUUUUUUUAAACUGUAGAACACUUCCUUGAACCCCCCUAUUAGUGUUUAAAUAAAACAAUGCUUGAAACACUUGUCUUUCUGGACAUAUUUCUACUUAUACAUGGUGAAGAAUAAUGAUAAACACUGACAUUUUACAGUCUUAUUGAUGAUAAAACUGGUAGCCUGCGGCCCGAAAUCAGUUCCACAAGGCCAGCCACAGAGAGCCGAUAUCACCCCCGAGCGGGCAGCCUUCUCACACAGUGGCUUGAGUUAUGGGUACUUGUCCUUCUAAGCGGACCUCUCAACCACUUGAAUGUACACGCUACAAAACAGACGUUAAAAAUAACAAAACCAAUCAAAUCUAACCACCGCAGGGAAUUAAGUCAGCUGAGACCGCUACCUCGGCACCGGGUAUCAUAGUUAUAACUGGUGUAUUUUUUUUUUUUUCCUGCAGGUCUGCUGUAAAAUUACAUUAUAAUUCAUAUUGUACACCGAGGAAAUGAACAGUGUGACCCUCCCUUUAUCUUUUAAAACACUAAUCCUAUAGAAAUUAAUUAAAAAAUUUAAGGAGUUAAUGUCACAAAGUGUUUAUGUUCCAAAGGUUAAUGGUUGAAAAAAACAAACAUGGAAACAAAGAUGAAACCAUAACUAUAUAGCAGUACUAUUAUGCUGCUAUAAUAAUUAUCAGCCCUUAAGUAGUGAAAUCAAUAAAUACACCAAGGCUUCACCUUGUGACUUACA